RNAcentral lists this unclassified non-coding RNA (1542 nucleotides) under Hevea brasiliensis (rubber tree). The record is from RNAcentral. Lineage: Eukaryota; Viridiplantae; Streptophyta; Magnoliopsida; Malpighiales; Euphorbiaceae.
AGUAGGGCAAUAUCCUUAUCCUCCGGAAAGGCCAUUUCACCUCUAUCAUUGUCUCCUCUAGGUCCUAAAUUCUCUGAAAGAAUAAAAACUCCAGAAGGAUGCAAGAAUGUUAAGAACCGCAAAGAGGAUUGCUGUUCAAAUUUGGAGAAUAUAGAACAGUCACUUGACAAACAUAACCCAGACAUUAUCUUUGCUCCAGAAGAAGCUGAUUUCAGAAUAACAAGCAGAUCAUUUGAAGAUAUUGAUCUCUUCCACAAAGAGUUUUGUCUGUCUUCCCUUGAAGGUGCUACUGACAGCUGCUCUUUGUUUCAGGAAUCUGGCUCCUUCCCAGAGUGCAAGGUUCAUUAGAAGCUUGAGUAGCCUUCCUGUUCGUAGGUCCUUGGUUGGUUCAUUUGAGGAAUCGUUAUUGUCUGGACGGUUCAUUUCUGGAAAAUUGACCCAGAGAAUAGAUGGUUUCCUAGCUGUGUUAAGCAUUACAGGAGGGAACUUUUCACCGCAAUCACAGAAGCUUCCUUUUUCAGUGACUAGUGUUGAUGGAGAUUGUCAUUUGCUAUAUUAUGCAUCCAUAGAUCUUUUUGGAAAUUCAUCAAACAAGCAUAGAGGCCAAAAAUUGAGAAGAGGCUUAAGUAAUGAUGAUUCACAGACUGUCAGGAGCUGCUUUCGUAUUCCUAUGAAAGGGCGUGUACAGCUGGUCCUUAGCAAUCCAGAAAAGACCCCUCUCCACACCUUUCUUUGCAACUAUGAUUUGAGUGACAUGCCUGCUGGUACCAAAACAUUUUUGCGACAGAAGGUAACUUUAGCCUCUUCUGGAACAACUUCGCCAGAGUUGAAACCAUGGGCAUGUAGGUUUGGACACGAAAAUGAAAGACAAGGUGACCUCAGUGUCACAGAACAACCAUCCUGUAAAUACAGUUGCUUCUAUCAGCCAAAAUAUUGAAGUCAAGAAUAUUGAAUGCUAUGAUGUAGAUUCAAUCGACACACAGAAUUGUCCCAAACAAUCGAGUUGUGAGGGAAAGGCAGGUGUUGAAUCUAUUGUACUUCACAAUGACUGCCGUAGUGGUAAUCGCCCGGGGUCUAGUGGGAAGGACUGCACUGGGGUGAAUACAUGCAUUGGAAUUGACAGAAGAUCAACUCAUGGUUGUUCAAAGAUCAAUGAUAAUGCCCAUGGUGGUGCUCUGCGUUAUGCACUCCACCUACGUUUUCUUUGCCCUUCACCAAAAAUGUCUUCUAGAUCAGUUCAGAGAUGUAAAUCUGAUCCUGCAUCUGUUCCACAGAAGACACAUUUAGAUGCGGAAGGACAACGCAGGUUCUAUUUAUACAAUGACCUGAGAGUUGUGUUCCCUCAACGACAUUCAGAUGCUGAUGAGGGCAAGUUGAAUGUGGAAUAUCAUUUCCCAGAAGAUCCAAGAUAUUUCGAUAUCAGCAACUGAAUUGUCUAAUUAACCUCAAUAGAUUGCUGACACUGUACAUGCUCACCACAUGUUUCUUUUAGUCGUCUCAUCUUAAAAUAGCUCUAACCCCUCAACUUGUAAAUACAUCCAU